GGGUUAGUAGGUUGGUCAUGCCUCUGGUAUGCACUGGUCUCACUGAUUCCUCCUUCCUGAUGAGCCGUAAUGCCAUUAAUUUGGUGUUGCGGGGAAUUUGGACUGUUACUUUGAAAAAAUUAGAGUGUUCAAAGCAGGCUUAUGCCCGAAUACAUUAGCAUGGAAUAAUGAAAUAGGACGUUCGAUCCUAUUUUGUUGGUUUCUAGGAUUGACGUA
This 216-nucleotide ribosomal RNA is filed under the name Campeiostachys nutans. Its description in RNAcentral is "Elymus nutans partial small subunit ribosomal RNA". The stretch from base 40 to 216 matches the Rfam family "Eukaryotic small subunit ribosomal RNA", at positions 686 to 864 of the family's 1831-position model. Lineage: Eukaryota; Viridiplantae; Streptophyta; Magnoliopsida; Poales; Poaceae. The record is from RNAcentral.